CAGCCGCCGCGGUAAUACGUAGGUGGCAAGCGUUAUCCGGAAUUAUUGGGCGUAAAGCGCGCGUAGGCGGUUUUUUAAGUCUGAUGUGAAAGCCCACGGCUCAACCGUGGAGGGUCAUUGGAAACUGGAAAACUUGAGUGCAGAAGAGGAAAGUGGAAUUCCAUGUGUAGCGGUGAAAUGCGCAGAGAUAUGGAGGAACACCAGUGGCGAAGGCGACUUUCUGGUCUGUAACUGACGCUGAUGUGCGAAAGUGUGGGGAUCAAACAGGAUUAGAUACCCCCGUAGUCCCUGUCUCUUAUAC
Molecule: ribosomal RNA, 301 nt
Filed under: uncultured bacterium
Lineage: Bacteria
Description: partial 16S ribosomal RNA
Rfam family: Bacterial small subunit ribosomal RNA
Source: RNAcentral